AGUAAAGUGUCUGAUUUAGGAGAUAAAUUGUAAAUUUAUUUAAGAAUUUAUUAUAAUUCUUUUACUA
This 67-nucleotide transfer RNA is filed under the name Ecnomus sp. XG-2021. RNAcentral describes it as "tRNA-Tyr". The record is from RNAcentral. Lineage: Eukaryota; Metazoa; Arthropoda; Insecta; Trichoptera; Ecnomidae.